This 494-nucleotide ribosomal RNA is filed under the name uncultured bacterium. Its description in RNAcentral is "partial 16S ribosomal RNA". It matches the Rfam family "Bacterial small subunit ribosomal RNA", at positions 28 to 507 of the family's 1533-position model. The record is from RNAcentral.
GACGAACGCUGGCGGCGUGCUUAACACAUGCAAGUCGAACGGAAAGGCCUGCUUUCCCUUGUGGAUUGCGGGUACUCGAGUGGCGAACGGGUGAGUAACACGUGAGUGAUCUGCCCCCAACUUGGGUAUAAGCCUGGGAAACUGGGUCUAAUUCCCGAUAGGACUGCAGGGUGGUGCCUGUGGUGGAAAACGAUUUUCUAGUGGUUGGGGAUGAGCUCGCGGCCUAUCAGCUUGUUGGUGGGGUAAUGGCCUACCAAGGCGGCGACGGGUAGCCGGCCUGAGAGGGUGGACGGCCACAUUGGGACUGAGAUACGGCCCAGACUCCUACGGGAGGCAGCAGUGGGGAAUAUUACACAAUGGGCGGAAGCCUGAUGCAGCGACGCCGCGUGGGGGAUGACGGCCUUCGGGUUGUAAACUCCUUUCGACCGCGAGGAAGCCACCUGGUUGGAAGGGUGGUAACGGUAGUGGUAGAAGAAGCACCGGCUAACUACGUG